CUUUGGAUAAUAUAAAUAUUCCAAUGAUUUAAUGGAGUUAUCUGAAGCCAUGUAGACAUUAAUUAGAGUUCUAUAAUUAGAAUUAUAGUUAUAGAAGCUUCCUACUGCAAAAUAGAAGGCAAUAUGUUAAUAUUUCAGGUUUACAGUACCUGAUGCAUUUUCAUAUACCAUGGCUCUAAUAAUUCUUUCUAAAUAACCACUGUGAUAGAUAUUUAAUAGUUCUUUAAUUAAUGUUGGAGUAAAACCCAUUUAUAUCUGUGCUUAUCCCAGGCCUCCUUCUCUCACAAGUGAACAGUCUGUCUGCUUCCUGUGUGCAGAGCCACCCAAACUGAGGAUGACACAGAAUCCAAUCAGAAAAGCAGCAUAAAGAUGAAAGGUCUUACCAAUGAGAAGUGAACUUGCUAAAGUACACCUUUCAAUGAAUUUGGACAAAACUGAAAAAUGUUGUUGAUAUCAGAUCCUUAGGCUGAUUACUGAAGCGUUCGAUUUUUCAGUAUGUCAAUUCAUCACUGUCCACCUGGUUAUAUUUAACACUUUCUCCUGUUUUCCAGCAUGUCUGCUGAGAUAGGCAAUCGCUGUCACAUGAUAUCUGCCUCUCAGGAAGGUGUGAUCUGCUGUUCAGCACGUGCCAUAGCAGUGGUUGCAACAAGAUCUACCAAUGGACGCUGAAAUCAGCACUGAAGGCUGACUGGAUUGGCUCUGCUUCGUCCUGUGAAUCUGGGUCUGGCCUGACUUGGACCAAGGGGCUCACUGGGACAGUGUUUUCUCCAGAUGAUGGCAGGAGUACAAGAAGGCAAGCCCCACCGCACAAGCACAUUUUAAGCUUUAGCCUAUGUCUCCUUUUGGUUAGAGAUGUUUAUUUGGCCUGCCCAAAGUUGAGGGGUAGGGAAGCACACUCUUCCCAUGGAGGUUGGGGGGAUAAAGUGCAUAUUUCUGAUGAAAAAUCUAAUCAAUCAUAAGGACCUUAAGUAACUAGUCAGAUUGUAAUAUCUUUGAGGUCUGAGCCCAUGCCCGGUACAGCGUCUAUAUCCUCCCUGACAAGAAAUAUGAAUUUAAGCACACAGUAGGAAAUAAAAAAAUUCAUGAUAAGUUUCAAAAUUUAAAUCAGAAAAUAAGUCCUUUGUGCUUUUCCUAAAUUAAACAACAAAAGCUUAGAGAGAAAAUAAAAAAGAGCAGGAAGAACUCACAUCAAUGUGGAUUAUAAAAAAAUUUUUUUUGAAGAAUGAGUAGCUUUAAAUUAGAAAGAAAAUUAGUAUUUUGUUGAGGAAGAAGGCAUUAUUCACAAAGAAAAAGUUAUUCUAGAUUUAUUUUUGGCAGAUGAUGAAAUAACAGUAACAAUUCCAAACUCUUAUCUAAAUGUAGUAAUAGCUGCUAUUUCCCCAGUAUUUUAUAGAUGAGUGAAGGCAUACAUGAUUUGUCUUCUUCCGUUUUAUAGAAGGAUAAGAAAUUGAGGGUUAGAGCAUGUGUAUGCUUUGCCCAGCGUCACCAGCUGCUAAAUGACAGAGCAGGCAUAAGUUGUCUUCUGGCUUCAAGUCCAGGGUUCUUCUUACCACCUGCAUUACAAAUUUCUACCUGGUGAGAACGAAUCCUUUCCUUCACUUCCUGGGGCUUUUGUAAAAGAUCUAUCACUCUGAAGAUGAAUUGAACUAUCAGGUAAACAUUUAAGGAAAGGAGAAGAACCAAGUUGGAAUGUAAGUGAAUUCUGGUGUUGGUGGCUGCCUGGCAUUAUAACUGAUGACAUAAUUAUUUCCUGGGACAUGGAGCACCAAUCACAGAGUAGAUGUAAUAGACAGAGGUUCUUAGGUAUUUACAAGUAUGGAUAAAGUGACUGCCCUUCAUUAAUAAAGGCAGCUGCUGGAGUCUGCAUUCCACUGUUAGUUGGGAUGGUAUUCGGGUAGUAAGUUUCUAGACCAGUCAACAUUUAGGUUCCCCGUUAACCCCUGUGACCUGCCUUUUCAGCCUGUGCGCCUCCAGCUCUAAGAUCCAGUUCAAAAGGCACCUUUUUCAGGAAGUGACCCUGUUCUCCUGGUGGGAAGCGGGCACCCCUGUUUCUAAACCCCCAAGCACUUUUUCUUUGCCUACACUUCCCUUUAGCAACCAUCGUGUAGUCAUGUACCACCUUUUAAGAUUAAUUGUUUGUUUCUCCUUUAUGACUGCGAAAUCUUACAAGAAAGUUGAUCAGAUCCUAACAUAGAGCCCAGCACAUGGCGAUUCUCCCUGUAAACAGGACUUGGGAAGAUGACCAGAUGAAUAGGUCUAGUCUUUCCUAGCCUGCUAGUUGGAGAGGUUUUUGAUGCAUCUUUGAAUCCACCACAGCUCUGUACUUAGUGCCUUACAUACAGCAGAUGCUUGGUAUGUUUUUGUUGAAAGGAAAACAUUUGUGUAAAUGAACAAAGGAAAAAAUAAUAGAUGAAUAAAAAAGUGAUUGAGUAAAUCUCUGGAUACUGAGGUGGAAGAUCAAGAGGAACACACAUCAAGUCAAAUAUCAGAGUCCCUUAAAAAAGAUGAAUAAUAUUUGAAACAAAUGUGUGAUGCUCUAGAUGUCAGAAGAAAUCUCUUGAAAUUUCUGAUCUUAUUCAAAGUAUAGGAACAAGAAAUGUGAAUGCCACUCUCCCCCAGUGAUGGUAAUGCUAAGUGCAGUACACCAAUAUUCCACAGUCUGGGCUGUUUUUAGAGUAAAACAUACUGAAAUCUUCUAGCACCAUAACAUUUGUGUUAUUUAAAUAUGGCAUUUAAAAAUGAGUUUUGCACAUGGUGUUAAGGCUUCAUCCAGGCU
Molecule: long non-coding RNA, 2776 nt
Organism: Bubalus bubalis (water buffalo)
Lineage: Eukaryota; Metazoa; Chordata; Mammalia; Artiodactyla; Bovidae
Exons: 3
Source: RefSeq, a predicted model, not a curated record